Long non-coding RNA from Oncorhynchus keta (chum salmon), 240 nucleotides. RefSeq lists it as uncharacterized. The transcript is spliced from 3 exons. The record is from RefSeq and is a predicted model, not a curated record. NCBI's taxonomy places the organism in Eukaryota, Metazoa, Chordata, Actinopteri, Salmoniformes, Salmonidae.
UGUUGACUCUACAAGGUGUUGAAAGCACUACAUGUUGACUCUACAAGGUGUAGAAAGCACUCCAUGUUGACUCCAUGUUGACUCUACAAGGUGUAGAAAGCACUACAUGUUGACUCUACAAGGUGUUGAAAGCACUCCAUGUUGACUCCAUGUUGACUCUACAAGGUGUUGAAAGCACUACAUGUUGACUCUACAAGGUGUAGAAAGCACUACAUGUUGACUCCAUGUUGACUCUACAAG